This 555-nucleotide long non-coding RNA is filed under the name Phaseolus vulgaris (common bean). Its description in RNAcentral is "long non-coding RNA (PVUL_LNC001087)". The record is from RNAcentral. Lineage: Eukaryota; Viridiplantae; Streptophyta; Magnoliopsida; Fabales; Fabaceae.
AAAUAUCCAACUAUUCUUACAAAUUUCAAUCAUUGAAAUCAAUUGCAAAACUUCAUUUUAGUCAAAAGCAUAAUAAUAAUUAAAACUUCUUGUUUCUCUCCAAACAAAUGUAUUUUAUGAAAUCAAGCCUUGAUUUUCCCUAAAAGCUUAAUAUAAGUUGCAAUCUAAGCCAUACUUGUAGACUUCUUACAUAUCGUUAUUGCAUAUCAACACUUCAGUGAUCCCCCAUAAUUAUUUCCUACUUUAGAUAACUUAAAAUGUCUUCAGCUGUGUCAUAAGCAAGCUACAAUUGUCAACAUUACAGUUCUAUUCCAAUCAAAAAUGUUUUUUUAAAAUAAAUUGUUAGACUGUAAUCAAAAUUUAAUAUACACUCUGAUGACAAAUACCAUGGAGACUAAAAUUCCAAUUAAAAUUAAAAAAAACAAAGAUGGUCGUACCUGAAGCUUUUGUUUUUGUUUUAGUCAACUCCUUCUUCUCUUUAUUACAGCAGACACCACAUUCAUUCGGAAACUCCGAUGAAAUGAAGGACAUAACAACCUUCACCUCGACAACAAC